This 325-nucleotide long non-coding RNA is filed under the name Cucumis sativus (cucumber). Its description in RNAcentral is "long non-coding RNA (CSAT_LNC002620)". The record is from RNAcentral. Lineage: Eukaryota; Viridiplantae; Streptophyta; Magnoliopsida; Cucurbitales; Cucurbitaceae.
CUGAAGGGACGCAAUGGUAUAAGGUCUCGCAAAAGGUAAGGUAAUUUUAUUUUUAGUGAGAGGCUUCAAGGGAGGAACUUCGGCUGGAACAGUGGGCACGGCAGUGACCUCUUCAACAGGAGGGGGAGGGGGAGGGGGAGGAGGAGGUGGUGGGGGAGGGGGAGGGGGAGGAGGAGGCAUUAGAUAGACAUCGAGUGUGCUCAUAUCUACUUCAUGAUGAUCCUUCUUUGGAAUGGCGCUCAUUCUUGGCAUGUUUUUCUCUCUCUCUACAUUAUCUUUUGGAACCUUCUGAACCUCUGUUUGAGUCUCCUGCUUCAUCCUUACA